GACGAAUAUCCAAAUAGAUAGGGACAACUUGAUCAAAAGAAGAAAAAAUGAGUCAUGCGUAACAGGUUUAAUCAGGUUAAAGAGAAUCAGGGUUACACUUCAGACCUGGGAGUACUCAUCAGUGAGCUGUCAUCUAAAGAAAAGUUAUCUUCACUUAGUCGAAGGAGCGUGGCAGAAGUGAACUGUGAAUGUAUCCUCAGUAAGACUCAUUUCAAACACAGAGGAAUUCAAUCAAGUAUAAGUUCAAGAGGAUCACCUUUCAGAAAUAAUAGAAGUGGAAUUUGAAAAAAAAAGAAAAUGAUAAAACAGAAGAAGCAUGUUUGGAAAAUCCUCAACAAAAUAUACCUGAAGCAAUGAGCCUUCUGACCAA
RNAcentral lists this long non-coding RNA (370 nucleotides) under Fukomys damarensis (Damara mole-rat). Its description in RNAcentral is "lncRNA (ENSFDAG00000033598.1)". The record is from RNAcentral. Lineage: Eukaryota; Metazoa; Chordata; Mammalia; Rodentia; Bathyergidae.